GAGUUUGAUCCUGGCUCAGGACGAACGCUGGCGGCGUGCCUAACACAUGCAAGUCGAGCGGAGAUAUUAGCAAUAGUAUCUUAGCGGCGGACGGGUGAGUAACGCGUGGGCAACCUGCCUUAGACUGGGGGAUAACACAGGGAAACUUGUGCUAAUACCGCAUAACAUUAUGAAGUGGCAUCACUUUAUAAUCAAAGGAGAAAUCCGGUAUAAGAUGGGCCCGCGUCCAAUUAGCUAGUUGGUGAGGUAACGGCCCACCAAGGCGACGAUGGGUAGCCGGCCUGAGAGGGUGAACGGCCACACUGGGACUGAGACACGGCCCAGACUCCUACGGGAGGCAGCAGUUGGGAAUCUUCGGCAAUGGGCGCAAGCCUGACCGAGCAACGCCGCGUGAGUGAUGAAGGUUUUCGGAUUGUAAAGCUCUGUCUUCCGGGACGAUAAUGACGGUACCGGAGGAGGAAGCCACGGCUAACUACGUGCCAGCAGCCGCGGUAAUACGUAGGUGGCGAGCGUUGUCCGGAAUUACUGGGCGUAAAGGGCGCGUAGGCGGCCUGUCAAGUCAGAUGUGAAAUCCCCGGGCUUAACCCGGGAACUGCAUUUGAAACUGGCGGGCUUGAGGGCAGGAGAGGAAAGCGGAACCCCCAGUGUAGCGGUGAAAUGCGUAGAUAUUGGGAGGAACACCAGUGGCGAAAGGCGGCUUUCUGGACUGUCACUGACGCUGAGGCGCGAAAGC
This 733-nucleotide ribosomal RNA is filed under the name uncultured bacterium. RNAcentral describes it as "bacterial SSU rRNA". It matches the Rfam family "Bacterial small subunit ribosomal RNA", at positions 9 to 760 of the family's 1533-position model. The record is from RNAcentral.